CGGUUGAUCCUGCCGGAGGCCACUGCUAUUGGAAUACGACUAAGCCAUGCGAGUCAAGGGGCUCUUCGGAGCACCGGCGUACGGCUCAGUAACAUGUGGGUAACCUACCCUCAGGUGGGAGAUAACCUCGGGAAACUGAGGCUAAUAUCCCAUAGAUAAAAGAUACUGGAAUGUUUUUUUAUCGAAAACUCUUGUGCCUGAGGAUGGGCCUGCAUCCGAUUAGGUUGUUGGUGAGGUAAUGGCUCACCAAGCCUACGAUGGGUACGGGUCGUGAGAGCGAUAGCCCGGAGAUGGGGACUGAGACAAGGCCCCAGGCCCUACGGGGCGCAGCAGGCGCGAAAUCUCUCCAAUGUGUGAAAACAUGAGAGGGGUAUUCCAAGUGCCCUUGUUAUGCAAGGGAUUUUCUUUGGUCCAAGACGCCGAAGGAAUAAGAGCUGGGUAAGACCGGUGCCAGCCGCCGCGGUAACACCGGCAGCUCGAGUGGUGGCCACUAUUAUUGGGCCUAAAGCGUUCGUAGCCGGGCAGGUAAGUGCUCUGGUAAAUCCCAUAACUUAAUUAUGGGGCUUCAGAACAUACUGCCUGCCUUGAGACCGGGAGAGGCUGGAGGUACUUUCGGGGUAGGGGUAAAAU
RNAcentral lists this ribosomal RNA (630 nucleotides) under uncultured archaeon. RNAcentral describes it as "bacterial SSU rRNA". It matches the Rfam family "Archaeal small subunit ribosomal RNA", at positions 5 to 638 of the family's 1478-position model. The record is from RNAcentral.